This is a small nucleolar RNA of Propithecus coquereli (Coquerel's sifaka), 106 nucleotides long. The record is from Ensembl. Lineage: Eukaryota; Metazoa; Chordata; Mammalia; Primates; Indriidae.
UUGCCCUUAAAGAAAGCAUUCUACCUAAAGAAUUAUCUUUCUAUGGUCUGUUGGCCAUUUCAGAACUUUGGAAAUGUAAUGGUCAAUUCAUUAGAAAGAAACAUCU